CCCGGGAAACCGGAGCUAAUACCGGAUAUGACACCAACCUGCAUGGGUAUGGUGUGGAAAGUUUUUCGGUCUGGGAUGGACUCGCGGCCUAUCAGCUUGUUGGUGAGGUAAUGGCUCACCAAGGCGACGACGGGUAGCCGGCCUGAGAGGGCGACCGGCCACACUGGGACUGAGACACGGCCCAGACUCCUACGGGAGGCAGCAGUGGGGAAUAUUGCACAAUGGGCGAAAGCCUGAUGCAGCGACGCCGCGUGAGGGAUGACGGCCUUCGGGUUGUAAACCUCUUUCAGCAGGGAAGAAGCGCAAGUGACGGUACCUGCAGAAGAAGCACCGGCUAACUACGUGCCAGCAGCCGCGGUAAUACGUAGGGUGCGAGCGUUGUCCGGAAUUAUUGGGCGUAAAGAGCUUGUAGGCGGUUUGUCGCGUCUGCCGUGAAAAUUCGAGGCUCAACCUCGAAC
Molecule: ribosomal RNA, 458 nt
Filed under: Salmonella enterica
Lineage: Bacteria; Pseudomonadati; Pseudomonadota; Gammaproteobacteria; Enterobacterales; Enterobacteriaceae
Description: bacterial SSU rRNA
Rfam family: Bacterial small subunit ribosomal RNA
Source: RNAcentral